ACCCUCGGGAAACUGAGAAUAAUACUCCUAGGUCUAGAGGUGGAAUGUUUAUGGACCAACAGCUCAGCUCCGGAGCCUAAGUUGAUUCUUUUGGCUAUCAGGGGUUGAGUAAGGAAUAAUAACCUGACUAGCCCUACGACGGAUACGGGUUGUGAGAGCAAUAACCCGGAGAUGAUAUCUGAGACACGAUAUCAGGCCCUACGGGGCGCAGCAGGCGCGAAAACUUCACACUGCGCGAAAGCGCGGUGAAGGAAAUCCCAAGUGCUUGCUCUUAGGGAGCAAGCUGUUUCUCUGUCUAAAAAGCAGAGAGAGUAAGAGCUGGGUAAAGACGGGUCCCAGCCCGCCCGCGGUAAAUACCCUGCAGGCUCGAGUGGUGGCCCGUAAUAUAUUGGGCCCUAAAACGUCCCGUAGCCCGGCCCUUUGUAAAAUGCCUGGGUAAAUCGUACGGCUUAAACCGUCACGAAUUCCUGGGUAGACUGCGAGGCUUGAGAUCCGGGAAGAGGCUAGAAGUACCUCCUGGGGUAAGAGGUGAAAUUCUGUAAUCCUAGGGGGACCCACCAGUGCCAAAGCCGUCUAGCUAGGAACGAGUUUGACGGUGAGGAACGAAGCCUGGGCCGCAAACGGGAAUUAAGAUACCCCGGUAGUCCAGGUGUAAACCGCUGCUUGCUUGAGUAGUCCGGCUCCCGACCCUGAUAGUGUCCGAAGAGAGUUGUAGCAAGGCUGCUGGAAGUACGUCGCAGGACUGAACUUAAA
Molecule: ribosomal RNA, 753 nt
Filed under: uncultured archaeon
Lineage: Archaea
Description: bacterial SSU rRNA
Rfam family: Archaeal small subunit ribosomal RNA
Source: RNAcentral